RNAcentral lists this ribosomal RNA (440 nucleotides) under uncultured bacterium. RNAcentral describes it as "partial 16S ribosomal RNA". It matches the Rfam family "Bacterial small subunit ribosomal RNA", at positions 338 to 795 of the family's 1533-position model. The record is from RNAcentral.
CCUACGGGAGGCAGCAGUGGGGAAUAUUGCACAAUGGGGGAAACCCUGAUGCAGCGACGCCGCGUGAAGGAUGAAGUAUUUCGGUAUGUAAACUUCUAUCAGCAGGGAAGAAAAUGACGGUACCUGACUAAGAAGCCCCGGCUAACUACGUGCCAGCAGCCGCGGUAAUACGUAGGGGGCAAGCGUUAUCCGGAUUUACUGGGUGUAAAGGGAGCGUAGGCGGCAUGGCAAGUCUGAUGUGAAAAGCCCGGGCUCAACCCCGGGACUGCAUUGGAAACUGUCGGGCUAGAGUGCCGGAGAGGCAAGCGGAAUUCGUAGUGUAGCGGUGAAAUGCGUAGAUAUUAGGAGGAACACCAGUUGCGAAGGCGGCUUGCUGGACGGUAACUGACGUUGAGGCUCGAAAGCGUGGGGAGCAAACAGGAUUAGAUACCCGAGUAGUC